GCCCACAUCUUUGUUUUCUCUAUUUUUGUCAAUGGAAACAAUUAGUACUCAUUACAUGGAAUAAGUAGAACAAUUAAUUAGUAUUGUGAUUAGUUUAUUAUGAACCGUGAAAUUGGUACCAGUUAUUUUGGUGCUAAUGUGUUUCUACUUGAUUUAGUUCAUGUGACAAGCUACUACAAGUUACAUUAUCCUCCACAACUAUUACAUUGUAAUUUUUUUACCUUCAGGAUAUGAACAAAUAGUGAGUGAGAGAGAGAGAGAGAGAGAAGAAAAAGCUUCAUCUUCUAUUUCUUUCUUAGCCUCAUCAUCUUCUGUUUUCUUAUCUGCCUCCUCCUCCUCCUCCUUCUACCUUUUACCUUUGCAAUGGAAGGAGGAGUUGGAAGAAUAUACUUUCUCUCUCUUUGAGGCAGAUGAGAAUAGAACUAUGAUAGAGAUGAAGAUGGAGAUGAUACUGAUGAUAGAGAUAAAGAUGAACACAAUGUUUUGUUUUAAAAAACAGAAACAAAUAGAGAGUAGAAAAGGAAAUCAACCUUCUCCAUCUUAAUUUUAAUCCACACACAUAAACUUGUUGUAAAAAAGAAAAGCAAAAAAAACUCAAAAUUUUCAUUAAACUCCAACCUGGGAAUCACUGUAAUCAUCAUCAUCAUCAUCUUGGUCUUCUCUAUGUUGGAAAUUAUCAUUAUUACAACUUCUAGUUAUCAUCAUCUCCUUGAGGGCAAUGUGAUGGGACGAGCCAGUUUCUUAUUAGUUAAUCUCACAUCAUCAAGUAAAGGAAAAGGUAACAAAGUGAGCGGUGGUGGUAAUGUUUAGAUGUCUGUGCAUGUGGAUCCAAAGGGAUAAUACUAAUGAAUAGAGUAUGAGGACAAGACUGAUUUCUUCUUGCACAUCCCUGUAAAAUUGGCGGCGUUUGUUUCUGACAAUCUCAUUUACACUCUUGGACCAGUUUAACCUCCACCCCUUGAUAGUAUUUGAUGCUAAUCAUUUCAGAAAAUUCAAUACAAUCACAACAAUCAAAAGGGAAAAGAUCAGCAAACCAAUUCAACAAUGAAAUAUCCAAGUUACAUAAAAAAAACAACUCACACAUCGAGCGGGAGACAUUAAAUGCUGAUUAUCAACAUUCAUAUAAAUGGACGUUUUAUCAUUGGGAUUUUUUUCUCUCCACCUCUCAUUCUGCACACUUAUUAAUUCCUGAAUGUUUUUCGGCAAUUGAUAACCUUGAUUAUUGCAAUGGAUAUCGUUUAAUACUGCAAAUAUAUUUAUGCAUUUGAUUGUUAACAAUCAAACAAAAGGAGUUGUAUUAGUUUCCAUUGCAUUUUGACGCUUGAAAGAGUUGAUAACAUUUACAAAACAAAGCAUUAAAUGGUUUCACUGGGUUAGUAUUUUUUUUAUUACAGCAAAAGGGUUACAUAAAUUGAGGAGGAUGAAAAAAGGAUGCGGAUGAGGAGGAGAGCCAAGGAUUUAGGAUGAUGAUGGGGAUAAAGGUGAUUGAAUUGAUUCAAAUAAUUUGCAAUUAUGUUAUUACAAUCAUGAUGCUUUCUUGAUUCUUAGGUUAAAUCAAAGUGGAUCCAAAUAUAUUAUAUGUAUGGAAAAGACAAAGCUGAUAAAAAAAACUUAAACAGUUAUGAGCCAAGUGAUGGUAAAACCGAGAGAGAUGGAGGAUAAGGAUGAUAAUGAUGAGUAUGAAGAUGAUGAUGAUUAUGGAGGAAAAGUGUAUAUGCAAAAUGAAAAAAAAAGGUAAGUGACAUAAAGUGUGUUUGCAUACCAUUAGAUUUAUAUACAGUUACUUAUGAUAGUUUAUGAGUAUUUUUUGUACUUUACGAGUUUGUGUUGUUUUUAUCAACUAAACAGAAUAUUUUCCCUCUUCUUUUUUAUCAUCAUCUGGGAGGGAGAGAUGAUAGAUAAAUAUCAUUUGAAGGUGGGUUAGGAUGAUGAUGAUGAUGUUGCAAUGAUAUCAAUUGAUGUUGCUCAUUUUAUGAGCCAUUUGAGGCUCAAUUUGAAAAGGUAAACUUUUUUUACUAAAAAAGUGUUUGCAAUUGAUGCUUAGGAUGAAUAUGAUGGUGUUGAUGAUGAAGAGAAAGAGGAAGAUGAUGAUGAUGAUGAUAAAGAUGUAAAAAUCUAUUGAAUCUGAAAUUUAAAUUUUCUCUGUAUCUUUACUUACGAUUUAUUUAUAAAUGAUCAUUUGACUUUUUCUUUCUUCUUCUGCAUGAUAUUCAAUGUUUCAUGGGUUUCAUUUAGAUUAUCUCAUCAUCAUAUUUUUCAUAUGAUUAUUAUUACUAUUUGAAGUUAUGUAAAUGAUGAUGAUGAUGAUGAAGAUAAUCAUGAAUGAAACAUUUGUAACAUGUAAAUGUUUCAUUCAUUUUCCUAUUCAAUUUCAUGCAACACUGAAUAGUUACCAUGGGAAAAAUAUAUAUAAAUGUUGAAACAACUAUCAAGACUCUCACCUUUUGUUGUAUCAUGUAACCUCCUCCAUUAAGAUUAAUAAUAAUAUAAUGAUAGUUCAUGGUAAUCAUGAUGUUAUCAUGAGGGGAAGAGGAUGAAGAAAAAAAAGUAAAACAAUAAAUAAUCAGAAUUUUUGAAUUCUCGAGAAAGUAAAAGGUUCUAAUGGAAUCAAAAAUAACGAUAACAAUUGAAUCUAUUGUGGGUGUUGGUUCAAUGAACAAUGACUUUAUCAGAAAAGCUUCAUGAAGAUGAUGAAGAAAAAGAUAUUAUGUAAUAAAAUAUGUUGAUGAAGAUGCUGAUAAAAAAGGAUGAAAGGGUGAGCAGGAAGAGUUGGAAAAAAAAGUGAGAGAUGCAAAUCAUUAUGAUGAUAAGGGAGAGAGAGAGAGAGUGAUGAAGAUAAUCUGAAAAGUUGGAAAGAUAACAUUGGAAAUGAGAAUGAUGAAGAUGAAAUUGAUGAUGAAUAUGAUAAUAAUGAUGACUAAAGAUGAAAAAGAUGAGGGAGUAAUUUUUAAAGAUGAUGAUGCUAAAUUUGUCAUUGGAAAGUCCUUGAUGAUGAUGAUUUUUUUUUCUUCUUGCAACUCCAUAAGAUUGAUGUCUUUAUUAAUUGCUUUAAACCAGAAAAGUUAACCAAGUCUAAGGAGAAAGUAGGAAGAGGAAUCAAUAUUAAGUAAUAGUGGGUGGGAAGAGUGAGAGUGAGAGAGAAAGAAACAGUGAGGGAGGGGGAGACUUGAAGUGGCAAUGGAAAAAUAAUCUUCCUCAUCCUUUCCUCUUCCUCUUCUCCCACCAUCAUCAUCAUCACCACCACCAUCACCUCAUCAUCAUUCAGAGGAAGAUAAGAUUGAGUGGAAAAAGAAUGAGUCCUCUCUCACUCACUCACUCUCCUUUUCUCAUCUUCCUCUUUUUAAAUGUAAUAACAACAAUAACAUUUAACUAACUCAUUUAAUUGCAAUAUAUUAUUAUUUUAUCAUUACCUUAACUACUACUCAAUAAUAUCAAGAUAAUUACAUUUUAAUUACAUUAUUAUUAAUAGUUAGUAGUGCACAUUAAUCAAGAUGAUUAACAAAAAUAAAAAGGGGGAGAAACAAAGAUUGAUCCAAAUAAUAGAUUAAUCAAUUUGAUUUUAACUUAAUCAACAAUCAAGAAGUUGAAAAGUUUUCCAAUUCAACGACAAAGGAAAAGGAAAAGGGAAAUUUAAUUGUUAACCAUUGGAAACUGAUGGAAACACAACAAUUUAUAUUAAAGUAAAAUGAUAUUCACAUAAAUUAGUAUCUAUUUUGUCACUUUUAUUAUAUUAUAUUUGAAGAUAAUAUUAUUACUCCCAUAAGAAUCAAUUAUUAUCAUGAUUAUCCCAUUUACAGCUGAUUGUUAAUGUUUACAGAAAACAACAAAGUAAUAUAAUAAAAAUGAUGAUUAUUUUUUGCUGGUUUGUUGAUAAAUAAUAUAAGAGACAACAAUCAACAAUCAACUAAUAAUAAUAACAUUUACUUUAGUUUUUUUCCUUAUUAUUAUCAUUCAAGGUUUGAUUAUUGUUAUUAUGAUGGUGAUGGUGAUGAUUAUGAUUAUUUUAUUAUCACACAUGAGGAUUGAAAAGUUGAUUAGCCAUUAAAAAUGUUAUUAAAUCAAUAGUUUUGGCCCAGUGAAUUAAGUUAUCAUUGAUUGUUAAUGAUUAUCUGUUUAUGAUCAAUUGUAUCAUAAUUUGGGUGUCACAUAACUGAUUUAAUAUCUUUAAUUGUGCUCAUUAGGUUUUGCUUUUUAAAUUAUUGCUCUAUUAUUAUUAUUUACGUUGAUUGUGAUAAUCAUUAUAACGGUAAUUUGAUAUUAUUCAUCAUCAGUUUAGUAGUUGAAUUUUUUUUGAUAAUGAUUAGUGUUGGGACUUUUUUUUCAAUUAGAUUUAAUUGUGUGGGUUUAAUUUAUUUGAUUUAGUUUUUAAUUUGAGUAUUCAUUGGGUUUGUGUUGAUUAUACGAGAUGAUAAUCUAACUGAUUGUUGAGAUUUAAGUUGGUCAUUAGUUAAUUGUGAGGAUUAGCAUUUUUUGUUGUUGUUGUUGUCUGGUUGUGGAUGGACAUUGAAUAAAGGAUGAUGAGGGUAAUGCUGAUGGAGGAUAAAAUUGUUGACAGUUUUGUUGAUUGAAUGUUGAUUGAUGUGAUAUAACAACAAGAUGUGAUUGUGAAUGAUGAUGAGAGAGUGAGAGGGAGGAUAAAAAAGAUGAUGAAGGGAUAGUGUUGAUUGAAUGGACAAUUUGUCCAGUCGAGGAAUGAAAUCUAUUCAUGUGUUGACCAAUGGAUGAGUGGGGAGAGCUGAAAAUCAAUCGACGAGUGAGAAGCAUAAAAAAAGA
Molecule: long non-coding RNA, 4773 nt
Organism: Panonychus citri (citrus red mite)
Lineage: Eukaryota; Metazoa; Arthropoda; Arachnida; Trombidiformes; Tetranychidae
Exons: 4
Source: RefSeq, a predicted model, not a curated record